GAUGAACGCUGGCGGCGUGCUUAACACAUGCAAGUCGAGCGAAGCACUUUGAAUUUUUCGGAAUGAGAAGUGACUGAGCGGGCGACGGGUGAAGGUAACGCGUGGGUAACCUGCCUCAUACAGGGGGAUAACAGUUAGAAAUGACUGCUAAUACCGCAUAAGCGCACGUCAUCGCAUGAUGGUGUGUGAAAAACUCCGGUGGUAUGAGAUGGACCCGCGUCUGAUUAGGUAGUUGGUGGGGUAACGGCCCACCAAGCCGACGAUGCGUAGGGGUUCUGAGAGGAAGGUCCCCCACAUUGGUACUGAGACACGGACCAA
This 318-nucleotide ribosomal RNA is filed under the name uncultured bacterium. RNAcentral's name for it is "bacterial SSU rRNA". It matches the Rfam family "Bacterial small subunit ribosomal RNA", at positions 28 to 334 of the family's 1533-position model. The record is from RNAcentral.